This 315-nucleotide ribosomal RNA is filed under the name Triticum aestivum (bread wheat). RNAcentral's name for it is "partial small subunit ribosomal RNA". Lineage: Eukaryota; Viridiplantae; Streptophyta; Magnoliopsida; Poales; Poaceae. The record is from RNAcentral.
AUGUCAUCAUGUGCAUUUCAUUUGCAUACGUGUUCAUCUCAUGCAUUCGAGCAUUUUCCCCGUAGUCCGUUUUGCAUUUCGGCAAUUCGUUCUCCUCCGAUAGUCAUUUCUAGAUUUCUUUCGUGUGUGGGGAUUAAACAUUUUCGGAUUGGACCGAGACUUGUCAAGCGGCCUUGGUUUACUAUCGGUAGACCGCCUGUCAAGUUUCGUAUCAUUUGGACUUCGUUUGAUACUCCAACGGUUAACCAAGGGACCGAAAAGGCCUCGUGUGUGUUGCAAACCAACACCCCCCAAUUUGGCCCAAAACCCACCUAA